RNAcentral lists this ribosomal RNA (373 nucleotides) under uncultured organism. Its description in RNAcentral is "bacterial SSU rRNA". It matches the Rfam family "Bacterial small subunit ribosomal RNA", at positions 526 to 896 of the family's 1533-position model. The record is from RNAcentral.
CGUAGGGGGCGAGCGUUGUCCGGAUUUAUUGGGCGUAAAACGCUUGUAGGCGGCCACAUCGCGUCGUGCGUGAAAUCUCCCGGCUCAACUGGGAGGGGUCGUGCGAUACGGAUGGGCUCGAGGCCGGUAGGGGGACGCGGAAUUCCCGGUGUAGUGGUGGAAUGCGUAGAUAUCGGGAGGAACACCAGUGGCGCAGGCGGCGUCCUGGACCGGCACUGACGCUGAGGAGCGAAAGCGUGGGGAGCGAUCCGGAUUAGAUACCCGGGUAGUCCACGCCGUAAACGGUGCGCACUAGGUGUCGGGGGUAUCGACCCCUCCGGUGCCGCAGCUAACGCAUCAAGUGCGCUGCCUGGGGAGUACGGCCGCAAGGCUA